Molecule: unclassified non-coding RNA, 906 nt
Filed under: Hevea brasiliensis (rubber tree)
Lineage: Eukaryota; Viridiplantae; Streptophyta; Magnoliopsida; Malpighiales; Euphorbiaceae
Source: RNAcentral
AAAAAAGAAAAAAAAGAAAAACUUCUGUCACGAUAUGCUUUAUCUCAGUAUUAAAAUAUCAAAAAGUUGAUGUCGAAGUAGAAAUCAUAUUGUUAUCACUUUGCUGAAUUCUCUGGGAAUAAAAGUUCAUUUUUAGGCAUAGAAAAGGCAGAAAACUUUUUUCUUUUAUAUAGUUAUUUUAUUAUUGUGGGAUGCUCUAUCUAGUUCAGGAGCUUCAUCUGGUCAUUCAGUUGGUAAAUUUAAACUGAGACUGCCUUUAUUAUUUGGUCAAUGCAGAAGAAAUUAACCAUAAAAUGUUCAUUCAUUGAAAAAGGUAUCUUAUUGGAGGAAAUAUGUUCAUUCAUUGAAUUAAAAGGUGUGUCUUACCAGAGGAAAUGUGCAUCAUUGUUGUGUUAUCUUGGCAUCCUUUUGAUGGCAUAUGCAAAAUGAUAACAGUUAAAAAGUGUCUAUUCCAUCUGGCAAAGAAAGUGAGUCCGAAGAAAAGGAUUUUUUUUCUUAAAACAUAAAAGGACGAAAUGAUGAUUCCACAUUCUAUCAAUAGUAAAGAAGUUUGAAUUUUCCAAAGCUAUAUUUGCAUGGUGGAGGGGAAACUGGGGUUCAGCUGUCUCGAGUAAAAGAGGAUUAUAAAAUGAGUUACUGGCUAUAGAUUUUUUUUCACCAACUACUAGUUGAAGGUGGACCCUUGCCUUAUUUUUGCAUACUGACUACAACUUGGUGGUCAAAUGCAUGUUCGACAUUUGUUUUCAUCAUGUAUUCCUUUAAUAUAUACCAAAUUUCCUGCUCUUUUCUCUUUCACCUUUUCCUUUUUGGGCUGUUAGAUGUUUGUUCCUUCCACUGGGAGUUGUGCUAUUAUUUUUACAAGAAAAAUAAAUUAUUGUGAACAAUUAUUUGCAAAUUUGAGUCCAG